RNAcentral lists this ribosomal RNA (490 nucleotides) under uncultured bacterium. RNAcentral describes it as "partial 16S ribosomal RNA". It matches the Rfam family "Bacterial small subunit ribosomal RNA", at positions 30 to 507 of the family's 1533-position model. The record is from RNAcentral.
AUUGAACGCUGGCGGCAGGCCUAACACAUGCAAGUCGAACGGUAACAGGAAGAAGCUUGCUUCUUUGCUGACGAGUGGCGGACGGGUGAGUAAUGUCUGGGAAACUGCCUGAUGGAGGGGGAUAACUACUGGAAACGGUAGCUAAUACCGCAUAACGUCGCAAGACCAAAGAGGGGGACCUUCGGGCCUCUUGCCAUCGGAUGCGCCCAGAUGGGAUUAGCUAGUAGGUGGGGUAACGGCUCACCUAGGCGACGAUCCCUAGCUGGUCUGAGAGGAUGACCAGCCACACUGGAACUGAGACACGGUCCAGACUCCUACGGGAGGCAGCAGUGGGGAAUAUUGCACAAAGGGCGCAAGCCUGAUGCAGCCAUGCCGCGUGUAUGAAGAAGGCCUUCGGGUUGUAAAGUACUUUCAGCGGGGAGGAAGGGAGUAAAGUUAAUACCUUUGCUCAUUGACGUUACCCGCAGAAGAAGCACCGGCUAACUCCGUG